CGAGUUAGGGUCUUCUCAGGCCCGACCUCCCAACCCUUUGUUUACCCACCCAUGUUGCUUCGGCGGGCCCGCCGUUUCGACGGCCGCCGGAGGACCGCCUAUUCAGGUCCUCUGGCCCGCGCCCGCCGGUAGCCAAUUCUACCAAACUCUUGAAUCAAAUCGUGUCCAAUGUCUGAGUAUAUUACAAAAUAAAAGCAAAACUUUCAACAACGGAUCUCUUGGUUCUGGCAUCGA
Molecule: unclassified non-coding RNA, 234 nt
Filed under: Exophiala dermatitidis
Lineage: Eukaryota; Fungi; Ascomycota; Eurotiomycetes; Chaetothyriales; Herpotrichiellaceae
Description: sequence contains ITS1
Source: RNAcentral